RNAcentral lists this ribosomal RNA (482 nucleotides) under uncultured bacterium. RNAcentral describes it as "partial 16S ribosomal RNA". It matches the Rfam family "Bacterial small subunit ribosomal RNA", at positions 30 to 507 of the family's 1533-position model. The record is from RNAcentral.
AUUGAACGCUGGCGGCAUGCUUUAUACAUGCAAGUCGAACGGUAACAGGACGCCAGGUGUCGUCGAGUGGUAAACGCGUGCGUAAUACAUCCAAACGUGCCCACUCGUGGUGGAAAACUACUAGAUUGAGGAGAUCAUACCGAAUACGAUCUAUCGUUGAAAGCGGGGGGCUGAAAGGCUUAGCGCGAUUUGAGCGGUCGAUGACAGAUUAGGUAGCUGGUGGGGUAAAGGCUCACCAAGCCAACGAUCUGUAGCUCGUCUGAGAGGACGAGCCGCCACACUGGAACUGAGACACGGCCCAGACUCCUACGGGAGGCAGCAGUGGGGAAUUUUGCGCAAUGGGCGCAAGCCUGAUCGAGCAAGGCCGCGUGCGGGAAGAAGGCCUUCGGGUUGUAAACUGCUUUUGUACGGAACGAAACGGUUCUGGUGAAUACACGGGGCUAAUGACGGUACCGUAAGAAUAAGCACCGGCUAACUACGUG